ACUCUCAUUGAAAAAAUUGAGCUUCGGCCGGCCUUCUAAGCCGAUGGUCACAGGUUCGAAUCCUGUCGGGAUCGCCA
RNAcentral lists this transfer RNA (77 nucleotides) under Mesorhizobium sp. RNAcentral describes it as "tRNA-Arg". Lineage: Bacteria; Pseudomonadati; Pseudomonadota; Alphaproteobacteria; Hyphomicrobiales; Phyllobacteriaceae. The record is from RNAcentral.